CGAACUAGACCUCAAUUUGAGCAAGAUUACCCGCUGAACUUAAGCAUAUCUUGUAACACGGACGACCAA
Molecule: ribosomal RNA, 69 nt
Filed under: Steinernema sp. 3463
Lineage: Eukaryota; Metazoa; Nematoda; Chromadorea; Rhabditida; Steinernematidae
Description: partial 28S ribosomal RNA
Source: RNAcentral